Molecule: transfer RNA, 43 nt
Filed under: Hopea parviflora
Lineage: Eukaryota; Viridiplantae; Streptophyta; Magnoliopsida; Malvales; Dipterocarpaceae
Description: partial tRNA-His
Source: RNAcentral
AAAUACAAAUAGGUGAAAAAGUAUACUAUAUACUAGACUCUAA